AUGAAGUAAGUGCCAAGGCACAGAAACCAAGACCCCGUAGUUGAUUAUGGAAGGAGGACAUAACCGUCCUACUGCAAUGUGGGUAAAUAUAUACCUUGACGCGGUUAGCCGUACGCUGCUUGCAUGGUCUGGGAUGGCGAUAAUAUACGCUGAAUGGAAUCCAGCUAAGUACCAGAUUACAUGACUAUUACCGCAAAGGAGAACACAACGCGCCCCUACAAAAACACUCUGCGAGGUAUUUUUUUAUUAU
This 250-nucleotide small RNA is filed under the name human gut metagenome. Its description in RNAcentral is "RT-2 RNA". It matches the Rfam family "RT-2 RNA". Rfam says of the family: Coriobacteriales (Actinobacteria), Clostridiales (Firmicutes). Downstream gene The record is from RNAcentral.